CAGCCGCCGCGGUAAUACGGAGGGAGCUAGCGUUGUUCGGAAUUACUGGGCGUAAAGCGCACGUAGGCGGUUAUUCAAGUCAGAGGUGAAAGCCCGGGGCUCAACCCCGGAACUGCCUUUGAGACUGGAAGGCUUGAACGUCGGAGAGGUGAGUGGAACUCCGAGUGUAGAGGUGAAAUUCGUAGAUAUUCGGAAGAACACCAGUGGCGAAGGCGGCUCACUGGACGACUGUUGACGCUGAGGUGCGAAAGCGUGGGGAGCAAACAGGAUUAGAUACCCCCGUAGUCCCUGUCUCUUAUAC
Molecule: ribosomal RNA, 301 nt
Filed under: uncultured bacterium
Lineage: Bacteria
Description: partial 16S ribosomal RNA
Rfam family: Bacterial small subunit ribosomal RNA
Source: RNAcentral